AUGCCAAUUUCCAGGAAUACUUUCCUCAUGGAAAAUGGGUUUGGGGGCAUUCACAGUGGUUCAUCACAUAAGCUUGAUUGUUUAAUCAUAAUGAAAGAACCAAAUCAUGUGAUUUUGUUCUAUAUGCUUUUGCUUGGAUCAAACUCAAUUCCUAAUUCUUUUUGGUUGAUAGACCAUUGCUCUUGGUGUGCGGAUUUACUCAAUUUCAAUAGGAAUACUUUCCCCAUGAAAAAUGGGUUUGGGGGCAUUCACAGUGCUCCAUGUACGCAUUGCCAAUUAGGAUUAAAGAUUUGGUGGUGGGGGAGUUAA
Molecule: ribosomal RNA, 309 nt
Filed under: Triticum aestivum (bread wheat)
Lineage: Eukaryota; Viridiplantae; Streptophyta; Magnoliopsida; Poales; Poaceae
Description: partial small subunit ribosomal RNA
Source: RNAcentral